CUCCUAACACUAUGGGCUGGUGGAUAAUUUGAAUUUAUUAUUAUUUAUUUUUUUGCCAUGCCAGUUUCUGCUACCUUUUAGGCUGAUGCUAUGGAGGAAAGAUGGAAAGAAUCGUUUGACCUCCUGUCUCUUGGAACAUUCCCAGAUGGCUUUAAUUAGUCCAAGAAAAUAAACCUUAGGAGGUACGCUUCAAAAUUCAAGUUAAAGGAAGGAGAGCUCUACGUUGGGAGCAGAAGAGCCAUUAAAUCCAAAGAGGAGGCAAGACAACUCUUUAUAGAGUUUCACUCCUCUCCAAUGGGGGGACAUACGGGCUUCCUGAAAACCUGCAGAGCAAUAUCCUCCAGAUUUUACUGGCUUGGCAUGUCAGUGGACAUUAACAACUGGGUCUUGGAAUGUGAUAAAGGCCAGAUGGUUGGAAAACCUUUGACUGCUGCCCAGACAUUGCAGUGUAUACAGGGAAUGCAGAGUACUUCUGUGUGGUGUGCUCCUUUGCCGAAGAAAAUGCAGAUGAGAGCAUGAUUGAAAAGGUGCAGUGUGGAUUGUGCAGUCGGUGGGCAAAUUUUGAGUGUGCCCAAUGUGCCCAUGAAAAUAAGGCUGAAUAUAUUUGCAAGAAAUGCCUUAAAAUAAAAUAAAGAUUUGAGAUCUUUUGGCUGUUAUUAUUAUUAUUUUAUGGAUCUUUUGAAUAAUU
Gadus chalcogrammus (walleye pollock) is the source of this 688-nucleotide long non-coding RNA. RefSeq lists it as uncharacterized. The record is from RefSeq and is a predicted model, not a curated record. The transcript has 6 exons. NCBI's taxonomy places the organism in Eukaryota, Metazoa, Chordata, Actinopteri, Gadiformes, Gadidae.